This 118-nucleotide non-coding RNA is filed under the name Ornithorhynchus anatinus (platypus). Lineage: Eukaryota; Metazoa; Chordata; Mammalia; Monotremata; Ornithorhynchidae. The record is from RNAcentral.
GCGUAGGACAAAGGAGAGAAGGUUAGCACUCCCCUUGAGAAGGAUGGAAGAGAUCCUAGUGGGCUUUACAACACAUAUAUGGUUAAUAAUGUUGGUAUUUGUUAAGCGUUUAGUAUGU